UACACACCGCCCGUCAAACCACGAAAGUUGUAUUAGCCAGAAGCAAAUGAGUUAACCGCAAGGAGACAGUUUGCCAAGGCUUGUGCGAUGAUUGGGGUU
Molecule: ribosomal RNA, 99 nt
Filed under: uncultured bacterium
Lineage: Bacteria
Description: partial 16S ribosomal RNA
Rfam family: Bacterial small subunit ribosomal RNA
Source: RNAcentral